RNAcentral lists this long non-coding RNA (567 nucleotides) under Fukomys damarensis (Damara mole-rat). Its description in RNAcentral is "lncRNA (ENSFDAG00000023877.1)". The record is from RNAcentral. Lineage: Eukaryota; Metazoa; Chordata; Mammalia; Rodentia; Bathyergidae.
GCCCCUUACAAAAAUCCAUGUAUUAACAUCUUUCUCCACAGGGUGGCGCUAUUUAAGAGGCGUGGAACUUCUAGUGAAUGGAGCCUAAUUCAGGUCCUUAGAUCACAGGGCAUGUGCCCUUAAAGGGAAUUGGGAGACCCUAGCCCCUUCCUAUUCUUUGAUCCUUGCCUAUGAGGUGAGCAGUUUGCUUUGCCAUAUGCUCCCCACUAUUGUCAUUGGACAGGCCUACCAGAACCUAAAGACAGUGAGUCUGUAUAAUCAGAACUUAGAACCUCUAAAACAGUAGGUGUCCCGAGUCCCAGGCCCCACAGCACCAACUGCAGCCAGCUCUCCUGGCGGGCCUUGCUCAGGGCCCAGAACAGCUACUUUGUUCCGCCCUGACUCCAACAGUGGGUGAAUCUUGCCCUUUCUGGUUGAUUGCAGUACCACCCCUUGUCUACAGUUUCCGUGCCUUUCAACGCAUUGACUUCAGACCCCAGUGCUUCUCCUCCUGAGAGAAUCAUUUCAAGGACAAGACUCAAAGAGUUAAUGUGCUAAUAAACUAGAACACAAGAAGCAAUUAGGCUG